Molecule: ribosomal RNA, 254 nt
Filed under: uncultured bacterium
Lineage: Bacteria
Description: partial 16S ribosomal RNA
Rfam family: Bacterial small subunit ribosomal RNA
Source: RNAcentral
UCCGUAGGGUGCGAGCUUUGUCCGGAAUUAUUGGGCGUAAAGAGCUCGUAGGCGGUGUGUCGCGUCGCUCGUGAAAACUUGGGGCUUAACCCUGAGCUUGCGGUCGAUACGGGCAUCACUGGAGUUCGGCAGGGGAGACUGGAAUUCCUGGUGUAGCGGUGAAAUGCGUAGAUAUCGUCAGGAACGCCGGUGGUGAAGACGGGUGACUGGGCUAGUUCUGACACUGAGGCACGAAAGCGUGGGGAGCGAACGGG